Molecule: ribosomal RNA, 468 nt
Filed under: uncultured bacterium
Lineage: Bacteria
Description: partial 16S ribosomal RNA
Rfam family: Bacterial small subunit ribosomal RNA
Source: RNAcentral
GACGAACGCUGGCGGCGUGCUUAAUACAUGCAAGUCGAACGGAAAGGCCCUGCUUUUGUUGGGUGCUCGAGUGGCGAACGGGUGAGUAACACGUGUGUAACCUGCCCUUGACUUUGGGAUAACUUCAUGAAACUGGGGCUCAUAUCGGAUAGGAGCUUCUGCUGCAUGGUGGGGGUUGUUAAGAUUCGGCGGUUCGGGAUGGCCUCGCGGCUUAUCAGCUUGUUGGUGAGGUAGUGGCUUACCAAGGCUUUGACGGGUAGCCGGCCUGAGAGUGUGACCGGCCACAUUGGGACUGAGAUAGGACCCAGACUCCUACGGGGGGCAGCGGUGGGAAAUAUUGCACAAUGGGCGGAAGCCGGAUGCAACAACGCCGCGUGCGGGAUGACGGCCUUCGGGUUGUAAACCGCUUGCGCCUGUGACGAAGCGUGAGUGACGGUAAUGUGUAAAGAAGCACCGGCUAACUACGUG